GCCUAGCCCCGAUCGAAACGGCAUCCUUUUAUGGUGGGUUUCACCAUAAAAGAUAUAGUGUAGAGCGGGAAAAAUG
Non-coding RNA from Flavobacterium hibernum, 76 nucleotides. The record is from Rfam. NCBI's taxonomy places the organism in Bacteria, Pseudomonadati, Bacteroidota, Flavobacteriia, Flavobacteriales, Flavobacteriaceae.